Molecule: non-coding RNA, 71 nt
Organism: Otolemur garnettii (small-eared galago)
Lineage: Eukaryota; Metazoa; Chordata; Mammalia; Primates; Galagidae
Source: Rfam
CUGGGAUAAUGGUAAAAUUUUUCAUCAACCGGAAUUUACGUGGUGAAUGUUGGUAACUUCAGGCAACCUGA